UUGUGGCUGAUUUCGUGGGGAGCAAGGGGGGAGGAGAUUUCCGCGAAAACUUGACCAAUCUUCGUGCAGUUCGUCCCUACUUCUAGGUAUCGAGGUUCGCAAUUUCCAUGCCCAACUUCUACUCACGAAGGCGAUGGAGAUCCUUCCGCCGAUGCAUAGCUACUCGAGUUGGAGAUCGAGUUGUAAGCGGUGGAGUAGAGGUAUGAGAAGCAGCUUUGCUUCUCUUCUUGUGGAUUAUGUUGGAGUCUCUUUCACUUUAUGAGAACUCUGUUAUUAAAGUCUUGCUUCCGCCACUGUUAAAGUGCGCAUGUUUAUUCUGAACCUUACUUAUGGUAUUGUAAACUAUUAUUACUGUAUAUCGGGAAACAAGUUAUCUAAAUAAAGUUAUGGUAUGUUUCCAACCUUUUAGCCGAAGUGUUUAGUUGUUUUACAGAAAAAAAAUUCCCUUGGUUUUUAGGGAUUGCAGAUUGGUCCUUAGACUUUGUUAGGUUACUAAUGUGACUCCUCAGUUGAGAAAUUGGGGUGUUACAAUUGUGGUAUCAGAGCUUUGGUCUAGAAAACCAGAGCUUUUGGGUAGAGUGCCUGCUUAAGAUGUUUGAACUCUGAGACCGAUUGAUGGGGUGUCAAUCGGAGGAAGAGUGUGCUUGAUUACUGUUUAUAUAGAUUAUUUUUGAAGGUUAUUCGUAAGUGAAUAACCUUAUGCUAGUUAUUGUUAAUUAUACAUUUGAUAUAAGUAUAUACAUAGUUAGUUAUUAUAGAACUUUGUGUUGUUCUGGCCUGAGUAUCUGUUGUGGUCUUUGACUGUUCAU
Lotus japonicus is the source of this 809-nucleotide long non-coding RNA. RefSeq lists it as uncharacterized. The record is from RefSeq and is a predicted model, not a curated record. NCBI's taxonomy places the organism in Eukaryota, Viridiplantae, Streptophyta, Magnoliopsida, Fabales, Fabaceae. The transcript has 3 exons.